Molecule: long non-coding RNA, 1822 nt
Organism: Lepisosteus oculatus (spotted gar)
Lineage: Eukaryota; Metazoa; Chordata; Actinopteri; Semionotiformes; Lepisosteidae
Source: RefSeq, a predicted model, not a curated record
UUAGUUUAUAUAUAUGAAAUACUAUAGUUAAAUGACAACUUCCAACAGGUUUAAGAUCUGGACAAAUUGGAGUUCAAAUUAAGCCAUAUUGUAAGGUCUGUUAAGGAUUCGGUUAUCUGAGUGCUGCAAUCGAAAGGAAACCAACAAUUUUGUGAGUCCCCAGAUGGAAGAUUUGGAAACUUCUGAUUUUAACCUCCUGGAACCUGAUCUUUCUGUUUUAGAGAGAUCAGCUAUCCAUGCCACAAGAAUUCUUUAAGCUUUCUUGAAGAAGAGAGAAAGGGACUGCUGGCAGAGAACAGAUAUAUAUAUGUUGCUGUUUUUUUUUUUAAUACUAUUAAGUAGUCUUGACCGUCAUCUGAAAAAGAAAACCACUGGGCAUCAUUCUGUUUGUGUGGGAGCUCUGUCAGCUGGAACGAAUGCUGUACAUUGAAAUGUAUUAAUCUCUGAAGCCAAACCAACAAGCCGGCGUCUCUUUGCCACAUCUACAGACACUCCAGGCAAGAAGGAUAUCCAUUUAUUUGCAGUCUUGAUCCUCAAGAACGAGCGCUAGCGCGAACGCGUCGGAGCAUGGGUCAUUUUGAUGGUCAAGGAAGCACUUCAGAGCUCCUAGCAGACAAACGAAUGGAAUAGGGCUGGAUUUAAAAAAAAGUUGACACUUUUCUCCCUCACUUCUGAGGCAGCUGUUUUAAACUGUUACUGUCAAGAGUUUUCCAUUUUUGUCUCAAGCCUGUUCUUUGCCUUUUCUCCACUUGAUCAGUGCUGGAAAAGUAUGGAUGUCUUUCCAACACAUCAAGACCCUAGCCGUGUCUGUUUUCUGUGUCUUUGACAGCUGUUCAAAAAAAAAAAGAGUCCAGCCACAUUAAAAGGAGGCUACCGCAUAACAGCGAAAUUGUCCAAUUUCCCACACUCAGUCCACACCCAUGGUACAGUACAUCUGUCAGCUGUCUAUACAGGCCCAGUGUGACUCUAAAGGCCUGUCUCACAAAUAUAGAUGAGUUAAUCUGCUUUGUUUUCUGGAUGUUGCAUUUGAAUUAUUUCAACAGCAAGGCUGGGUGGUACUGUGAUCGGCACUGCUGCCUCACAGAUCCUGGGUUCGACUGCAGCUUUCUGGGAGCUGGCCAUGUUCUCCCUGUGUGCGUGUGUGGGGUUUUUUUUUUCCCACCAGGCGCACCAGUUUCAUCCCACCUGAUUAAAAUGCAAAGGCAGUAUUUGAUGUCUCCAGAUCGUGUGCGAGAUGCACACAUGAAUUCAGUAGUUGGGUCAAAUUCGAAUAAGGGUAAAACAAGCUGUCAGAUGUAGAAAAAGGGACGGCGCACUUAAAACUUUGGCGUUAACUCGCCUGGCUGAAGAAAUGACUGUGCUGGCCAAAGAUCAACACUGUCACAUCUCUCCCCCCUCCUUGCUUUUGAGAGAUGAGCCAGUGAGAAAAUGCUACAAUGGUGAUGUUGGGGUGGAGGAAGAGCUCUAAAAGAGCUGUACACUGUACGCUCAGAGUUGUGGGCAGCCAAGGAAGAAUUUAUACACAGGGGAGCUUAAGUAUGCCAUUAGAAUUUGACCUCCUCCCAAAUUAUAUCUGUUAAAUAACACCAUUAGUAUCACGGGUGAACAUUUCAGUAUGUUGUGGUUGUGUAGAAUUCUCCAGCAUUCCGAACUUGAGCCAUUCGUAAGAGCUUGCCUGACUGGCUUGAUUAGGAAAAGUCAAAAUGCUCAGCCAUGACUUUCAAAUGCAAAGCAGGUUCUGAGGUUCCUUUUGACUGCCAAAGCAAGUGGCCAUGUUUAACAUUUGGAUUAAGAUUUAAUAAAACGCUAAAAUAAGAUGUUU